CGUAGGGUGCAGGCGUUAGUCGGAAUUACUGGGCGUAAAGCGUGCGCAGGCGGUCUUUUAAGUCAGAUGUGAAAUCCCCGGGCUUAACCUGGGAACUGCGUUUGAAACUGGAAGGCUUGAGUGUGGCAGAGGGGGGUGGAAUUCCACGUGUAGCAGUGAAAUGCGUAGAGAUGUGGAGGAACACCGAUGGCGAAGGCAGCCCCCUGGGCUAACACUGACGCUCAUGCACGAAAGCGUGGGGAGCAAACAGGAUUAGAUACCCUGGUAGUCCACGCCCUAAACUAUGUCAACUGGUUGUCGGGGAAGCAAUUCCUUGGUAACGAAGCUAACGCGUGAAGUUGACCGCCUGGGGAGUACGGCCGCAAGGUUA
RNAcentral lists this ribosomal RNA (370 nucleotides) under uncultured organism. RNAcentral describes it as "bacterial SSU rRNA". It matches the Rfam family "Bacterial small subunit ribosomal RNA", at positions 526 to 896 of the family's 1533-position model. The record is from RNAcentral.